CGGGCUGUUGGACAAGGGCGCGGUUCCUUCCGCUGGAGCAGGCGCGGGCGCGGGUUCCACCCUCGCGAGCCCGACC
This 76-nucleotide transfer RNA is filed under the name Streptomyces sp. 1-11. RNAcentral's name for it is "tRNA-Arg". The record is from RNAcentral. Lineage: Bacteria; Bacillati; Actinomycetota; Actinomycetes; Kitasatosporales; Streptomycetaceae.